AGCGAACGCUGGCGGCAGGCCUAACACAUGCAAGUCGAACGAAGUCUUCGGACUUAGUGGCGGACGGGUGAGUAACACGUGGGAACGUGCCUUUAGGUUCGGAAUAACUCAGGGAAACUUGUGCUAAUACCGGAUGUGCCCUUCGGGGGAAAGAUUUAUCGCCUUUAGAGCGGCCCGCGUCUGAUUGGCUAGUUGGUGAGGUAAAGGCCCACCAAGGCGACGAUCAGUAGCUGGUCUGAGAGGAUGAUCAGCCACAUUGGGACUGAGACACGGCCCAAACUGCUACGGGAGGCAGCAGUGGGGAAUCUUGCGCAAGGGGCGAAAGCCUGACGCAGCCAUGCCGCGUGAAUGAUGAAGGUCUUAGGAUUGUAAAAUUCUUUCACCGGGGACGAUAAUGACGGUACCCGGAGAAGAAGCCCCGGCUAACUUCGUGCCAGCCGCCGCAGUAA
Molecule: ribosomal RNA, 449 nt
Filed under: uncultured bacterium
Lineage: Bacteria
Description: partial 16S ribosomal RNA
Rfam family: Bacterial small subunit ribosomal RNA
Source: RNAcentral